This is a long non-coding RNA of Ipomoea nil (Japanese morning glory), 1138 nucleotides long. RefSeq lists it as uncharacterized. The record is from RefSeq and is a predicted model, not a curated record. The transcript is spliced from 4 exons. Lineage: Eukaryota; Viridiplantae; Streptophyta; Magnoliopsida; Solanales; Convolvulaceae.
UGUUUGUAAUAUUUUGUAGGGAUUAACAUAUGUGAUUCAAGAGUUGUUUCCUGACACUGAGCAUCGUGACUGUGCAAGACAUGUGUACGCCAAUUGGAGUAAGUUGCAUAGAGGCAAAGUGUUGAAAUACCACUUUUGGAUGUGUGCAAAGGAUACCACUGAACCUCAAUUCCAAGAACAAAUGAAAUGUUUAGGAAAUAUGGACCCUACAACAAAAGUUGACUUAGAAAGGUACCCUCCAAGAUUUUGGUGCAAGGCUUUCUUUAGAACGAAUGUCAAGUGUGAUAUUGUGGAUAACAAUCUCAGUGAGGCUUUUAAUGACACCUUUUUGAAAGCAAGAGUGAAGCCCAUUAUCCCUAUGUUGGAAGACAUAAACGUAGGGGUGAUGCGGAUGAUUGCAAAAAAAAUUAAAUUGGUAAAAAGCUGGACUGGAAAUUAUGGACCAUUGGUUAUGAAGAAGCUGAAUACAAAUAUUCAUGAAAGUAUGGGAUGGAAUGUAGAAGCUGCUCAUGCAGGGCAUGAGAUCUUUCAGGUAUACCAUGCCCACAUGCAAUAUGUGCGAUCUUCGACAUUGGAAGGGGACCUCAAGACUACAUUGACUCAUGCUAUUCAAAAGAGACUUAUCUAAGGGCCCAUGCACUUCAACCAAUGAAUGGCGAGUUAUUCUGGCCAAAGACACAAAAUGAUGAGAUACUUGUUCCAAUUCCAAAAAAAAAAAUUACUAGAAGACCAAAGAGAAAAUGAACGCGUGAGGCAAGUGGCAGUCCAUCUCGUCCUAAGAAAAACACAUCAACUACCGGUAACACUACCUCUACCUUAGCAAAGAAAAUAAUAUCAAAGAAGGGAAAAGUGAUACGUUGUUCUCUUUGUAAGACCCCGAGCCAUUAUAAACCACAAUGUCCUAAUAGGAAUCUUGGUCAAUCACAGGAGCCAGUCAUUCACCCUGGAUCAAACUCAAGCAAUCAAGCCUCUCAAGCAUCAAUGAACUAAUGAACUAACUUAGUUUAUUUUUGGUAGAUUUUGUUGUAUGAACUUAUAGUAAGGUCUUGGCAGAUUGUAUCUCUUUUUGGUGGAUUGUAUAUCUUCGCAGCUUGUAAUCUCUGUUGGUGGAUUGUAUAUUUUGCUGGUAUGUUUUGGC